This 375-nucleotide long non-coding RNA is filed under the name Ananas comosus (pineapple). RNAcentral's name for it is "long non-coding RNA (ACOM_LNC027880)". Lineage: Eukaryota; Viridiplantae; Streptophyta; Magnoliopsida; Poales; Bromeliaceae. The record is from RNAcentral.
AGAUUUACGUGAAAAAACUCCAACUUGGAGAAAAAUAAAUGCGGAAAAUAAAAAGCACACCGAGAUUUACGUGGGAAAACUCCAACUUGGAGAAAAACCCACGGGACCAACACGCGAAAAAAUAAUUCACUAAGAGAAAAGAUUACAAGGUGAUUACCGACUCCAUGGACUCAACCUCUCUUAACCUUCUAUGAAUCUUCGCGCUACCCUCCGGGUUGUCCACGCCCUCACGUUCGAAUCCACGAACGCCUCCACUUCGAAUCCACGAAGCUUCAAUCACGCCGAAUCCACGACGCCACUCGAAUCCACGAGCCAACGAUCCGAAUCCACGAACCGCCUUUGUUCACGCCGAAUCCACGACGCUGUUCAUGAAGA